This 321-nucleotide ribosomal RNA is filed under the name uncultured Bacillota bacterium. Its description in RNAcentral is "bacterial SSU rRNA". It matches the Rfam family "Bacterial small subunit ribosomal RNA", at positions 28 to 351 of the family's 1533-position model. The record is from RNAcentral. Lineage: Bacteria; Bacillati; Bacillota.
GACGAACGCUGGCGGCGUGCCUAACACAUGCAAGUCGAGCGGAGAUCGCAGUAAUGUGAUUUUAGCGGCGGACGGGUGAGUAACGCGUGGGCAACCUGCCUCGAACUGGGGGAUAACACAGGGAAACUUGUGCUAAUACCGCAUAACAUCAUGAGAUGACAUCAUCUUAUGAUCAAAGGAGGAUCCGGUGAGAGAUGGGCCCGCGUCCAAUUAGCUAGUUGGCGGUGCAACGGACCACCAAGGCGACGAUUGGUAGCCGAACUGAGAGGUUGAUCGGCCACAUUGGGACUGAGAAACGGCCCAGACUCCUACGGGUGGCAG